CCUCAAAUCAGGUAGGACUACCCGCUGAACUUAAGCAUAUCAAUAAGCGGAGGAAAAGAAACUAACAAGGAUUCCCCUAGUAACGGCGAGUGAAGCGGGAAGAGCUCAAAUUUAAAAUCUGGCGGUCUCAGGCCGUCCGAGUUGUAAUCUAGAGAGGUGUUUUCUGUGCCGGACCGUGUACAAGUCCCUUGGAACAGGGCGUCAUAGAGGGUGAUAAUCCCGUCCAUGACACGGACUACCGGUGCUCUGUGAUACACCUUCAAAGAGUCGAGUUGUUUGGGAAUGCAGCUCAAAAUGGGUGGUAAAUUCCAUCUAAAGCUAAAUACAGGCGAGAGACCGAUAGCGAACAAGUACCGUGAGGGAAAGAUGAAAAGAACUUUGGAAAGAGAGUUAAACAGUACGUGAAAUUGUUGAAAGGGAAACGCUUGAAGUCAGUCGCGUCCGCCGGGAUUCAGCCUUGCUUUUGCUUGGUGCACUUCUCGGUAGAUGGGCCAGCAUCAAUUUUGGUCGUCGGAAAAGGGCGGGAGGAAUGUGGCAGCUUGCUGUGUUAUAGCCUCCUGUCGCAAACGAUGGCCGGGAUUGAGGAAUGCAGCACGCCUUUGGUCGGGGUUCGCCACACGCCACGUGCUUAGGAUGCUGGCGU
This 643-nucleotide ribosomal RNA is filed under the name uncultured Basidiomycota. RNAcentral's name for it is "LSU rRNA". It matches the Rfam family "Eukaryotic large subunit ribosomal RNA", at positions 1 to 632 of the family's 3401-position model. Lineage: Eukaryota; Fungi; Basidiomycota. The record is from RNAcentral.